UACGAAGGGUGCAAACGUUGCUCGGAAUCAUUGGGCGUAAAGCGCACGUAGGCGGCCUCAAAAGUCGGAUGUGAAAUCCCGUGGCUCAACCAUGGACGUGCAUUCGAAACUGCGAGGCUUGAGUAUGGAAGAGGGUCGCGGAAUUCCCGGUGUAGAGGUGAAAUUCGUAGAUAUUGGGAAGAACACCGGUGGCGAAGGCGGCGACCUGGUCCUUGACUGACGCUGAGGCGCGAAAGCGUGGGGAGCAAACAGG
This 253-nucleotide ribosomal RNA is filed under the name uncultured bacterium. RNAcentral describes it as "partial 16S ribosomal RNA". It matches the Rfam family "Bacterial small subunit ribosomal RNA", at positions 524 to 776 of the family's 1533-position model. The record is from RNAcentral.